UGAAGACCUUACCCGACUUAGCUGAGAGGUGGUGCAUGGCCGUCGUCAGUUCGUACUGUGAAGCAUCCUGUUAAGUCAGGCAACGAGCGAGACCCACGUCCACAGUUGCCAGCAUACCCUCCGGGGUGAUGGGUACACUGUGGAGACCGCCGCUGCUAAAGCGGAGGAAGGAGUGGGCAACGGUAGGUCAGUAUGCCCCGAAUCUCCCGGGCUACACGCGGGCUACAAUGGUUGGUACAAUGGGCAUCUACCCCGAAAGGGGAAGGAAAUCUCUUAAAGCCAAUCGUAGUUCGGAUUGAGGGCUGCAACUCGCCCUCAUGAAGCUGGAAUCCGUAGUAAUCGCGUUUCAACAGAACGCGGUGAAUACGUCCCUGCUCCUU
Molecule: ribosomal RNA, 380 nt
Filed under: uncultured Methanosaeta sp.
Lineage: Archaea; Methanobacteriati; Methanobacteriota; Methanomicrobia; Methanotrichales; Methanotrichaceae
Description: bacterial SSU rRNA
Rfam family: Archaeal small subunit ribosomal RNA
Source: RNAcentral